CACACAGCAGACAAAUUACUUUACAACAUUGAGGUAAAGAGCUGCCUCAUCCUCCUCUCUGCUCUACUUGUCAGGGAUUAUGAUCCUGAAUACAGCGGAUAAGAACUUUAGAUGAAUCUCUGGGAAAUUUAGUUCUUGAAGUGACAUG
Molecule: long non-coding RNA, 148 nt
Organism: Bufo bufo (common toad)
Lineage: Eukaryota; Metazoa; Chordata; Amphibia; Anura; Bufonidae
Exons: 3
Source: RefSeq, a predicted model, not a curated record